Long non-coding RNA from Manis javanica (Malayan pangolin), 527 nucleotides. RefSeq lists it as uncharacterized. Lineage: Eukaryota; Metazoa; Chordata; Mammalia; Pholidota; Manidae. The record is from RefSeq and is a predicted model, not a curated record.
CCCAGAGCUCAGGGAGGCCACUGCCCCAGCACCCAGCGCCCUCAGCCUGGCAGCUGCCUGUGCAGAUGGCUUGCCUGCUGUAGGUGGUUCCCUGGAGGGUCGCCCGGUGAACUGGACUCCUGGUCAUCCUGAGAGUCAGACACUUCAGCCGGAAAGGAGUCCUGGGUCUCCAACAGAGCCAUGCGAACAUGACGGAACAUGACGGCCGAGCAAGUGGGGCCGGCAGAUGGGGGUGCCUGGUGGGGGCCUGAUUGGAGCCCUGCCACACCUCCAAGAGCAGCUGCAAAGCCAUUAGAUGAGUGGAUAAAGAAGAUGUGGACAAAGAAUGGAUAAAGAAGAUAUAUGCAAUGGACACAACUCAGCCAUUGAAUGAAAUCUUGCCAUUUGUGACAAGAUGGAUGGACCUAGAGGGUAUUACGCUAAACAAGCUGGACAGAGAAAGACAAAUACCAUAGUACUUCACAUAUAUGUGGUACAUAAAAACAAAUCAACAAAACUCAUGAAUACAGAGAACAGACAGGUGGGCA